RNAcentral lists this ribosomal RNA (286 nucleotides) under uncultured bacterium. Its description in RNAcentral is "partial 16S ribosomal RNA". It matches the Rfam family "Bacterial small subunit ribosomal RNA", at positions 921 to 1220 of the family's 1533-position model. The record is from RNAcentral.
CCGCACAAGCAGCGGAGCGUGUGGUUUAAUUCGAUGCUACGCGAAGAACCUUACCUGGGCUUGACAUGUACGUAGUAGUGAAGCGAAAGUGGAACGACCCUUCGGGGAGCGUACACAGGUGCUGCAUGGCUGUCGUCAGCUCGUGUCGUGAGAUGUUGGGUUAAGUCCCGCAACGAGCGCAACCCUCGCUGUUAGUUACACGUGUCUAACGGGACUGCCGGUAUAAAACCGGAGGAAGGUGGGGAUGACGUCAAGUCAGCAUGGCCUUUAUGUCCAGGGCUACACA